Doryrhamphus excisus (bluestripe pipefish) is the source of this 1096-nucleotide non-coding RNA. Lineage: Eukaryota; Metazoa; Chordata; Actinopteri; Syngnathiformes; Syngnathidae. The record is from RefSeq and is a predicted model, not a curated record.
UUGCUCUACUUUUUCUGACCUGAGGUUGUCAAAUAUCAUAAACUUGACUGGUUUGCCAAUAACAACAACUGAAGUAGCGUUACUUUAUUUUAAGGCGACUGAGACAUUACUGUCAAGUGAAAUUUUCUGCCCAACAAGCAUUAGACUAAACUACAUGACUAGGACAUCGACCUUCUCCUGGUUUUAAGCAGCUAUCUUGCUUCACAGCCAUUUUAAUGGACAACAAACAUACAAUUAUUAAUUAAUUAUACAAUAAGUAAUUAUGUAAAACGUACAUAUUAAAUCUUCUGGUUCACUUACUGUUGUACUUUUUCAAAUAACCCGCGCGCGCAACGUAACCUGAGGUGGCUAACGAAUCAAGCUAUCUUUAGCUAGUUUAGUCGUCUCCCCUCUCAAAAUAUACACACUGUGGACGAUGCACAACAUAAUCACCCUUCUGCUAUAUGUUAACCACGUUCACCUUACCUCGUGUCUAGUCUGACGCUUUCUAGUUAGUUAAUAUUACGUUUAAUGACAAUGGCAUUUUAAGCUAGCAUCCACUUGGUCACAUUAGCCCUUUUAGAAUUCGGCAUUUUCAACCACCAGAAAAUAACUGAAGUGCACAGCGAACAACAAUAUAAAUUAAUUCUAACAUGCUGCUUCAGUUGAAACUCCAAAUAAUUGGUUUAUUAAGUAAUUAGCAGAAACUUACCGUACGUACUCUUUCCACUGGGAGAAAAUGCCGUCUUGAAAAUUCUGACGGUUAGAAAUUGAAGAGGAGGUGGGCGGGGCUCUUCAGAAGUUGAGGAACCUCAGUCGGCGAGGAAGAGGUGUCCUCCAGGAUGGGGAUGUCUGAGCUCUCCUCCGCCUUCCUGUCCAGCACUCUGGAUGGGCUGCAGAUGUCUUUACCUGGAGCAACAUCCAGUAGGAGGGAGCCCAGCAAACAGAAAGAUUUCAGCAUCUCAGUGAUGUACAUUUCCAGACAGCACUGCAGCUGGAUGAAGAGCCUGCAGAUCUCAGGGUGGAUCUCACCGUCCUCUGGCCUGAGGCACAAAAAUGCAUCAUAAUCAAGCGUAUCUUCAGUCAUAAAACAUGAUGCAACAAUAAAUAUGACAAA